This 253-nucleotide ribosomal RNA is filed under the name uncultured Brevundimonas sp. RNAcentral's name for it is "partial 16S ribosomal RNA". It matches the Rfam family "Bacterial small subunit ribosomal RNA", at positions 524 to 776 of the family's 1533-position model. Lineage: Bacteria; Pseudomonadati; Pseudomonadota; Alphaproteobacteria; Caulobacterales; Caulobacteraceae. The record is from RNAcentral.
UACGAAGGGGGCUAGCGUUGCUCGGAUUUACUGGGCGUAAAGGGCGCGUAGGCGGACAUUUAAGUCAGGGGUGAAAUCCCAGAGCUCAACUCUGGAACUGCCUUUGAUACUGGGUGUCUUGAGUAUGAGAGAGGUAUGUGGAACUCCGAGUGUAGAGGUGAAAUUCGUAGAUAUUCGGAAGAACACCAGUGGCGAAGGCGACAUACUGGCUCAUUACUGACGCUGAGGCGCGAAAGCGUGGGGAGCAAACAGG